CACUGUGAACAUACCACUGUUGCUUCGGCGGUCCGCCCCGGGUGCGUCCUCGCGUCGUGUCCCGGGCCCAGGCGGCCGCCGGGGGCACCGAAUCUCUGUCUUUAUAGCGGGCUUCUGAGUACUUUACACAAAUAAAUCAAAACUUUCAGCAACGGAUCUCUUGGCUCUGGCAUCGAUGAAGAACGCAGCGAAAUGCGAUAAGUAAUGUGAAUUGCAGAAUUCAGUGAAUCAUCGAAUCUUUGAACGCACAUUGCGCCCGCCAGUAUUCUGGCGGGCAUGCCUGUCCGAGCGUCAUUUCAACCCUCGGGACCCUUCGGGGAACCGGUGUUGGGGACCCGUCCGCCGACCCACGGCGGCCGGCCCCGAAAUACAGUGGCGGCCCUGCGGCGACCUCCUCUGCGUAGUAGCGAUACCUCGCAGCUGGAAAGCGGCAGCGGCCACGCCGUAAAACCCCCCACUUCUAUGGUUGACCUCGGAUCAGGUAGGAAUACCCGCUGAACUUAAGCAUAUCAAUAA
RNAcentral lists this unclassified non-coding RNA (516 nucleotides) under Waltergamsia dimorphospora. Its description in RNAcentral is "sequence contains 18S rRNA gene, ITS1, 5.8S rRNA gene, ITS2". The stretch from base 141 to 294 matches the Rfam family "5.8S ribosomal RNA". The record is from RNAcentral. Lineage: Eukaryota; Fungi; Ascomycota; Sordariomycetes; Hypocreales; Bionectriaceae.